CAGUCGCCGCGGUAAUACGGAGGGGGCUAGCGUUGUUCGGAAUUACUGGGCGUAAAGCGCACGUAGGCAGCUGUGUAAGUCAGAGGCGAAAGCCCGGGGCUCAACCCCGGAAUAGCCUUUGAGACUGCAUAGCUUGAACACGGGAGAGGUGAGUGGAAUUCCGAGUGUAGAGGUGAAAUUCGUAGAUAUUCGGAAGAACACCAGUGGCGAAGGCGGCUCACUGGACCGUUGUUGACGCUGAGGUGCGAAAGCGUGGGGAGCAAACAGGAUUAGAUACCCGGGUAGUCCCUGUCUCUUAACA
Molecule: ribosomal RNA, 301 nt
Filed under: uncultured bacterium
Lineage: Bacteria
Description: partial 16S ribosomal RNA
Rfam family: Bacterial small subunit ribosomal RNA
Source: RNAcentral